This 410-nucleotide unclassified non-coding RNA is filed under the name soil metagenome. RNAcentral describes it as "partial contains 5.8S ribosomal RNA, internal transcribed spacer 2, and large subunit ribosomal RNA". The stretch from base 1 to 121 matches the Rfam family "5.8S ribosomal RNA", at positions 35 to 154 of the family's 154-position model. The record is from RNAcentral.
GAUGAAGAACGUAGCGAAAUGUGAUAAGUAGUGUGAAUUGCAGAAGUACCGUGAAUCAUCGAAUCUUUGAACGCAAAUUGCACUCUCUGGUAUUCCGGGGAGUAUGCCUGUUUGAGGGUCGCUUAACAAACCAUCGAUUUCGUUGCUUUUUUUUUAAAAAGUGAUGUUUAUCGGAUUUGAGCCGUCUUUUUUUUUUAUAUUUAAGUGGCUUAAAAUUGAUUUUUUUGGUACGAUCGAAGCGUAUUUUUAUGAUCAAUUUUUGGUUAAAGAAACGCACACGUACCGUUAUUUAUAUGAUGUAAUACGUUUGACUAUUGGAUUUAGUUCAUUCGUAUACGAUAUUUUUCAAUAUUUGACCUCAAAUCAGGUAAGAACACCCGCUGAACUUAAGCAUAUCAAUAAGCGGAGGA